Molecule: ribosomal RNA, 609 nt
Filed under: bacterium
Lineage: Bacteria
Description: bacterial SSU rRNA
Rfam family: Bacterial small subunit ribosomal RNA
Source: RNAcentral
UUCCAUGCAGUCGAGCGGUAGCACAGAGAGCUUGCUCUCGGGUGACGAGCGGCGGACGGGUGAGUAAUGUCUGGGAAACUGCCUGAUGGAGGGGGAUAACUACUGGAAACGGUAGCUAAUACCGCAUAAUGUCGCAAGACCAAAGUGGGGGACCUUCGGGCCUCAUGCCAUCAGAUGUGCCCAGAUGGGAUUAGCUAGUAGGUGGGGUAACGGCUCACCUAGGCGACGAUCCCUAGCUGGUCUGAGAGGAUGACCAGCCACACUGGAACUGAGACACGGUCCAGACUCCUACGGGAGGCAGCAGUGGGGAAUAUUGCACAAUGGGCGCAAGCCUGAUGCAGCCAUGCCGCGUGUGUGAAGAAGGCCUUCGGGUUGUAAAGCACUUUCAGCGGGGAGGAAGGCGAUAAGGUUAAUAACCUUGUCGAUUGACGUUACCCGCAGAAGAAGCACCGGCUAACUCCGUGCCAGCAGCCGCGGUAAUACGGAGGGUGCAAGCGUUAAUCGGAAUUACUGGGCGUAAAGCGCACGCAGGCGGUCUGUCAGUCGGAUGUGAAAUCUCCGGGCUCAACCUGGGAACUGCAUUCGAAACUGGGGGGUUAGAGUCUUGUU